UACGUAGGGGGCAAGCGUUGUCCGGAUUCAUUGGGCGUAAAGAGCGUGUAGGCGGCCAGGUAGGUCGGUUGUGAAAACUGGAGGCUUAACCUUGAGAUGUCAUCGGAAACCAUUUGGCUAGAGUCCGGAAGAGGAAAGUGGAAUUCCUGGUGUAGCGGUGAAAUGCGCAGAUAUCAGGAGGAACACCGAUUGCGAAGGCAGCUCGCUGGGACGUUACUGACGCUGAGACGCGAAAGCGUGGGGAGCAAACAGG
This 253-nucleotide ribosomal RNA is filed under the name uncultured bacterium. RNAcentral's name for it is "partial 16S ribosomal RNA". It matches the Rfam family "Bacterial small subunit ribosomal RNA", at positions 524 to 776 of the family's 1533-position model. The record is from RNAcentral.